RNAcentral lists this ribosomal RNA (508 nucleotides) under uncultured bacterium. RNAcentral's name for it is "partial 16S ribosomal RNA". It matches the Rfam family "Bacterial small subunit ribosomal RNA", at positions 28 to 523 of the family's 1533-position model. The record is from RNAcentral.
GAUGAACGCUAGCUACAGGCUUAACACAUGCAAGUCGAGGGGAAACGACAUCGAAAGCUUGCUUUUGAUGGGCGUCGACCGGCGCACGGGUGAGUAACGCGUAUCCAACCUGCCCACCACUUGGGGAUAACCUUGCGAAAGUAAGACUAAUACCCAAUGAUAUCUCUAGAAGACAUCUGAAAGAGAUUAAAGAUUUAUCGGUGAUGGAUGGGGAUGCGUCUGAUUAGCUUGUUGGCGGGGUAACGGCCCACCAAGGCUACGAUCAGUAGGGGUUCUGAGAGGAAGGUCCCCCACAUUGGAACUGAGACACGGUCCAAACUCCUACGGGAGGCAGCAGUGAGGAAUAUUGGUCAAUGGACGGGAGUCUGAACCAGCCAAGUAGCGUGCAGGAUGACGGCCCUAUGGGUUGUAAACUGCUUAUAUAAGGGAAUAAAGUGAGUCUCGUGGGACUUUUUGCAUGUACCUUAUGAAUAAGGACCGGCUAAUUCCGUGCCAGCAGCCGCCGUAA